RNAcentral lists this small RNA (96 nucleotides) under Marmota monax (woodchuck). It matches the Rfam family "G-CSF factor stem-loop destabilising element (SLDE)". Rfam says of the family: This family represents the granulocyte colony-stimulating factor stem-loop destabilising element (G-CSF SLDE). G-CSF is secreted by fibroblasts and endothelial cells in response to the inflammatory mediators interleukin-1 (IL-1) and tumour necrosis factor alpha and by activated macrophages. Lineage: Eukaryota; Metazoa; Chordata; Mammalia; Rodentia; Sciuridae. The record is from RNAcentral.
CUGAGGUAUCUACCUUGGGGCCCCAGGAAGCAUGAGAAGGUCUCCCAUGUGGGAGACAAACCAACCCUGUUUAAUAUUUAAACAGCAGUGUUCCCC